AUUUAGAAAUUUAUUUAUUUUAAUUUUGUUUUACUUUUAUUUAAAUAAUUAUUUUUUUUAUUAAUUUUUAAUGAAAAAAUUUUUUUUAUUAUAGUGCAUUGUAUUGUAAGAGAUGAUUUUUAAAUUUAUAAAAAGAAGAUUUUGUUUUUUGUACCUUUUGUAUCAGGGUUUACUAAAUUAUUUUUAAUUAUUUAUUUAUCCCGAAUUUAAAAGAGCUAAGUAAUUAUUAAUUUUAUUGUGGAAUAAAUAUUUAUAAUUUUUACUUUGUAGCGAAACGUUAGUCGUUUUUAAAUAUAUCUGGUUUUUUAAGAAAUACAUUUAAUGUAGCAAUCAUUCAGUAUUAAUAUUAUUUAUAAUUUUAUGUUGAUGAUUUUUUAUAUCCAAGGGGACAAGCUUUUGGUUAUAUAAUUAUAAGAUUUUAUUUAUUGAAUAAUACAUAGGAUUAGAAUUUUCCACUGUUAAAAGGAUGUUUUAAUUUAUUAUUUUAAAUUUUUUAUUUUUUUUACUUUAGAUUUUUUAUUAAAAUAUUGGUUAUAAUUUUUUAGACCAAGAAAUAAUGGUAAAAUUAGUAUAAUUUAUUGUAUUAUUACAUAUUAUUUUAAGGUUUUGUUAAGGAAUUCGGCAAAUUAUUUUUCACCUGUUUAAUAAAAACAUGGCCUUUAGUUUAUGAUUUAAGGUCUGACCUGCCCAAUGAUUGUUUUGAAUGGCCGCAGUAUUUUGACUGUGCAAAGGUAGCAUAAUCAUUAGUUUUUUAAUUGAAAGCUGGAAUGAAUGGUUUGAUGAAAAAAUAACUGUCUCAAUAGAACUGUUUUAGAAUUUUAUUUUUGAGUGAAAAAGCUUAAAUUUAUUAGAAAGACGAGAAGACCCUAUAGAGUUUAAUAUUAACUUAGUCAAUAAUUUUUAGGUUUUAUAUAAAUUAUUGUUGAGAUUAUUAUUUUGUUGGGGUGACAUAAAAAUUUAAGUAACUUUUUAUUUUUUAUAACAUUUAUAUAUGAUUAUUUGAUCCUAAUUUUUGGAUAAAAAGAUUAAAUUACCUUAGGGAUAACAGCGUAAUUUCUUUGGAGAGUUCUUAUCGAUAAGGAAGUUUGCGACCUCGAUGUUGGAUUAAAAUUUAUUUUUGGUGUAGAAGCUAAAAUAUUAGGUCUGUUCGACCUUUAAAAUUUUACAUGAUCUGAGUUUAGACCGGCGUGAGCCAGGUUGGUUUCUAUCUCUUAAUUAUUAAAUUGUUUUAGUACGAAAGGACCAGAUAAUUAAAUAAUAUUUUAAUGUUUUGGAUUAAGU
Molecule: ribosomal RNA, 1281 nt
Filed under: Myladina unguiculina
Lineage: Eukaryota; Metazoa; Arthropoda; Insecta; Coleoptera; Tenebrionidae
Description: 16S ribosomal RNA
Rfam family: Archaeal large subunit ribosomal RNA (bases 1041-1199)
Source: RNAcentral